GAUUAAGUUAUUAAGGGCGCACGGUGGAUGCCUUGGCACUAGAAGCCGAUGAAGGACGUUACUAACGACGAUAUGCUUUGGGGAGCUGUAAGUAAGCUUUGAUCCAGAGAUUUCCGAAUGGGGAAACCCAGCAUGAGUUAUGUCAUGUUAUCGAUAUGUGAAUACAUAGCAUAUCAGAAGGCACACCCGGAGAACUGAAACAUCUUAGUACCCGGAGGAAGAGAAAGAAAAUUCGAUUCCCUUAGUAGCGGCGAGCGAAACGGGAAGAGCCCAAACCAACAAGCUUGCUUGUUGGGGUUGUAGGACACUCUAUACGGAGUUACAAAGGACGACAUUAGACGAAUCAUCUGGAAAGAUGAAUCAAAGAAGGUAAUAAUCCUGUAGUCGAAAAUGUUGUCUCUCUUGAGUGGAUCCUGAGUACGACGGAGCACGUGAAAUUCCGUCGGAAUCUGGGAGGACCAUCUCCUAAGGCUAAAUACUCUCUAGUGACCGAUAGUGAACCAGUACCGUGAGGGAAAGGUGAAAAGCACCCCGGAAGGGGAGUGAAAUAGAACCUGAAACCGUGUGCUUACAAGUAGUCAGAGCCCGUUAAUGGGUGAUGGCGUGCCUUUUGUAGAAUGAACCGGCGAGUUACGAUUUGAUGCAAGGUUAAGCAGUAAAUGUGGAGCCGUAGCGAAAGCGAGUCUGAAUAGGGCGUUUAGUAUUUGGUCGUAGACCCGAAACCAGGUGAUCUACCCUUGGUCAGGUUGAAGUUCAGGUAACACUGAAUGGAGGACCGAACCGACUUACGUUGAAAAGUGAGCGGAUGAACUGAGGGUAGCGGAGAAAUUCCAAUCGAACCUGGAGAUAGCUGGUUCUCUCCGAAAUAGCUUUAGGGCUAGCCUCAAGUGAUGAUUAUUGGAGGUAGAGCACUGUUUGGACGAGGGGCCCCUCUCGGGUUACCGAAUUCAGACAAACUCCGAAUGCCAAUUAAUUUAACUUGGGAGUCAGAACAUGGGUGAUAAGGUCCGUGUUCGAAAGGGAAACAGCCCAGACCACCAGCUAAGGUCCCAAAAUAUAUGUUAAGUGGAAAAGGAUGUGGCGUUGCCCAGACAACUAGGAUGUUGGCUUAGAAGCAGCCAUCAUUUAAAGAGUGCGUAAUAGCUCACUAGUCGAGUGACACUGCGCCGAAAAUGUACCGGGGCUAAACAUAUUACCGAAGCUGUGGAUUGUCCUUUGGACAAUGGUAGGAGAGCGUUCUAAGGGCGUUGAAGCAUGAUUGUAAGGACAUGUGGAGCGCUUAGAAGUGAGAAUGCCGGUGUGAGUAGCGAAAGACGGGUGAGAAUCCCGUCCACCGAUUGACUAAGGUUUCCAGAGGAAGGCUCGUCCGCUCUGGGUUAGUCGGGUCCUAAGCUGAGGCCGACAGGCGUAGGCGAUGGAUAACAGGUUGAUAUUCCUGUACCACCUAUAAUCGUUUUAAUCGAUGGGGGGACGCAGUAGGAUAGGCGAAGCGUGCGAUUGGAUUGCACGUCUAAGCAGUAAGGCUGAGUAUUAGGCAAAUCCGGUACUCGUUAAGGCUGAGCUGUGAUGGGGAGAAGACAUUGUGUCUUCGAGUCGUUGAUUUCACACUGCCGAGAAAAGCCUCUAGAUAGAAAAUAGGUGCCCGUACCGCAAACCGACACAGGUAGUCAAGAUGAGAAUUCUAAGGUGAGCGAGCGAACUCUCGUUAAGGAACUCGGCAAAAUGACCCCGUAACUUCGGGAGAAGGGGUGCUCUUUAGGGUUAACGCCCAGAAGAGCCGCAGUGAAUAGGCCCAAGCGACUGUUUAUCAAAAACACAGGUCUCUGCUAAACCGUAAGGUGAUGUAUAGGGGCUGACGCCUGCCCGGUGCUGGAAGGUUAAGAGGAGUGGUUAGCUUCUGCGAAGCUACGAAUCGAAGCCCCAGUAAACGGCGGCCGUAACUAUAACGGUCCUAAGGUAGCGAAAUUCCUUGUCGGGUAAGUUCCGACCCGCACGAAAGGCGUAACGAUUUGGGCACUGUCUCAACGAGAGACUCGGUGAAAUCAUAGUACCUGUGAAGAUGCAGGUUACCCGCGACAGGACGGAAAGACCCCGUGGAGCUUUACUGUAGCCUGAUAUUGAAAUUCGGCACAGCUUGUACAGGAUAGGUAGGAGCCUUUGAAACGUGAGCGCUAGCUUACGUGGAGGCGCUGGUGGGAUACUACCCUAGCUGUGUUGGCUUUCUAACCCGCACCACUUAUCGUGGUGGGAGACAGUGUCAGGCGGGCAGUUUGACUGGGGCGGUCGCCUCCUAAAAGGUAACGGAGGCGCUCAAAGGUUCCCUCAGAAUGGUUGGAAAUCAUUCAUAGAGUGUAAAGGCAUAAGGGAGCUUGACUGCGAGACCUACAAGUCGAGCAGGGUCGAAAGACGGACUUAGUGAUCCGGUGGUUCCGCAUGGAAGGGCCAUCGCUCAACGGAUAAAAGCUACCCCGGGGAUAACAGGCUUAUCUCCCCCAAGAGUUCACAUCGACGGGGAGGUUUGGCACCUCGAUGUCGGCUCAUCGCAUCCUGGGGCUGUAGUCGGUCCCAAGGGUUGGGCUGUUCGCCCAUUAAAGCGGUACGCGAGCUGGGUUCAGAACGUCGUGAGACAGUUCGGUCCCUAUCCGUCGUGGGCGUAGGAAAUUUGAGAGGAGCUGUCCUUAGUACGAGAGGACCGGGAUGGACAUACCUCUGGUGUACCAGUUGUCGUGCCAACGGCAUAGCUGGGUAGCUAUGUGUGGACGGGAUAAGUGCUGAAAGCAUCUAAGCAUGAAGCCCCCCUCAAGAUGAGAUUUCCCAACUUCGGUUAUAAGAUCCCUCAAAGAUGAUGAGGUUAAUAGGUUCGAGGUGGAAGCAUGGUGACAUGUGGAGCUGACGAAUACUAAUCGAUCGAAGACUUAAUCAA
This 2923-nucleotide ribosomal RNA is filed under the name Staphylococcus aureus. RNAcentral's name for it is "23S ribosomal RNA". It matches the Rfam family "Bacterial large subunit ribosomal RNA". Lineage: Bacteria; Bacillati; Bacillota; Bacilli; Caryophanales; Staphylococcaceae. The record is from RNAcentral.